This 454-nucleotide ribosomal RNA is filed under the name uncultured bacterium. Its description in RNAcentral is "partial 16S ribosomal RNA". It matches the Rfam family "Bacterial small subunit ribosomal RNA", at positions 28 to 507 of the family's 1533-position model. The record is from RNAcentral.
GAUGAACGCUGACAGAAUGCUUAACACAUGCAAGUCUACUUGAACUUCGGUUUGGGUGGCGGACGGGUGAGUAACGCGUAAAGAACUUGCCUCACAGAUAGGGACAACAUUUGGAAACGAAUGCUAAUACCUGAUAUUAUGAUUUUAGGGCAUCCUAGAAUUAUGAAAGCUAUAUGCACUGUGAGAGAGCUUUGCGUCCCAUUAGCUAGUUGGAGAGGUAACGGCUCACCAAGGCGAUGAUGGGUAGCCGGCCUGAGAGGGUGAUCGGCCACAAGGGGACUGAGACACGGCCCUUACUCCUACGGGAGGCAACAGUGGGGAAUAUUGGACAAUGGACCAAGAGUCUGAUCCAGCAAUUCUGUGUGCACGAUGAAGUUUUUCGGAAUGUAAAGUGCUUUCAGUUGGGAAGAAAAAAAUGACGGUACCAACAGAAGAAGUGACGGCUAAAUACGUG